CUAAUCCUCUUAUGGAGUCCAAACAGAAAUAGAAAACGACAGUUUUUAUCACUAUUUUAUCUUUUCUUUUGGGGUGCAACAAUACAUUUGGUUGUUACUUCUGCAGCUGGUGUAAUAUGUCAGCAAUGCACUGGGAGGCCAGACGCCGCCAGCAAGUGCUGGACCGCAGAUUAUCUGCAAAAGUCAAGCAGGCAGAGAUGAAAGGAAAAAAUGAAGAGCAGUCACACACACACAAUGUACCUACAGGAUCCAGUAACACUCGGGAGGUUGACAAGAAAUGCAUUUGUAAGUGUCAGCCUUCUGACGAGGAAACAUAUAUCAAGAAUAACAAAAAAUACUCGUCCCUACAGUACUCCCAGCAAUGGUGAAGAUGGGGGCCAGACCAAUGGGCAGAACCAACGCCACAUAUAAAGAUCUGUAUUUUAAUAAUAAAACAUCUGUAUUAAUCUUUGCAAUUCAAAUAAAAUUGG
Molecule: long non-coding RNA, 470 nt
Organism: Paramisgurnus dabryanus
Lineage: Eukaryota; Metazoa; Chordata; Actinopteri; Cypriniformes; Cobitidae
Source: RefSeq, a predicted model, not a curated record